This is a long non-coding RNA of Anas platyrhynchos (mallard), 416 nucleotides long. RefSeq lists it as uncharacterized. NCBI's taxonomy places the organism in Eukaryota, Metazoa, Chordata, Aves, Anseriformes, Anatidae. The record is from RefSeq and is a predicted model, not a curated record.
GCUCGGCUAAUCAGUUAAUUGGCUUUGCAUAUUGCAAAAGGGCCCCUUGAAAUUAAAACCCCUCUGGAUAAAACCUCAGGGACCUGUGCUUGGGUCUGGGUGGGAUCAGCCUUCCCCUGCUCUGCAGCAGCACAGGCACGUGAGCAAUGCUGAAAGAUGGCAUGAAAAAAGCAAUGAAAAGGAGCUUUAAAAUGCUCAGGAAGGCAAAUUGAUGAGGACUUGAGGUGUACUCUUGUGUCAGAUUAAACCGUGAUUUAUGGCCAGGAAGAUUGCAUUUCAAUGUACCUGCUGUGGAAAGUUCUCGUCGUCCGUUUCUGGCUGUGCUUCUCCCCUAGCAGGUUUAUUUUGAGUCCUUCAGCUGCAGGAAGCCCAGAGCAGGGCCUCUUCUUUGCUCUGCUGCAGACCAUCACCUGGAU